Molecule: transfer RNA, 55 nt
Filed under: Tyrophagus putrescentiae
Lineage: Eukaryota; Metazoa; Arthropoda; Arachnida; Sarcoptiformes; Acaridae
Description: tRNA-Leu
Source: RNAcentral
UUUAAUUUAGCAUAAAAAAUGCGAAGAGUUUAAGCCUCUUAGAUUAUAAUUAAAA